AUGUAAUGUGUAAAAUUAAGUCAAUACAUUAAAUUUUGUACAAUCAACUUAAAUGUUUUUGUUGACAAGAGAAAAUCUUAUCAUUUUUAAUGAAUCUAUAUUUUAAAUGAGUCUCGAAAAUAUACACUAGAUUAAAAUAGUCUCAAACACUGUCUUUAGUUUAGGGCAGGUUUAUUGAUGUAUCUUAAUGGUGUAUCUUACGUUAAAUGGGAUUAAAAGAAAUAGAAGAAAAGAGAAUUAGCCAAAAGACGACUCCUAAUUAAGGCCGAGAAGGGGCGUCUCUUGAGCGCCACGUGUCAGCCAUCAAUGGGAGAAAGGAGGGAUGUCCACGUUGCUUCGGUUUCGUCUCUUCUUUUCUUUUUUUCUCUCUGAUUGUCUCCUCUCCUAGGCGAAAAGGCGAUUCGACUGUCCUUCGGUGGCGCUCGUCAACGGAAUGCCGUGUCUCACCGUGGCUCUUGUCGAUGAAGGAAAUCGGCGUCCUUUGUAUCGGUUACUCUCGUCGACGAAGGAAGCCGGCGACAUCUCUCUCCUUGUGGCUCUCGGAGACGAAGGCAGUCGGCGACAUGUCUAUCCGGCGGCUCUCUGAGACGAAGGAAAGCGGCGAGAUCUCUCUCAUGGUGGCUCUCGGAGUGUUUAGGAAAACAGUGAACGGUGACAUCUCUCUCCUGGUGGCUCUCGGAGACGAAGGAACACGGUGGCUGUCUCUGCGCAGGUCAAUGGAAAGAUGGAUUGAUCAAGAGGCUCGAGAUGGAGUGAUCAAGAGGCAAGAAUGAGGUCUGUCAGAUAAAACCCCGACGAUUGUUCAUACAGGUGAGUUCACAAGAGAGGUUAUGAGAGUCUGAGGCAGAGAUACUGCUGAGAGGUCACAAGAGAGGUUAUGAGAGUCUGAGGCAGAGAGCUCACAAGAGAGGUUAUGAGAGUCUGAGGCAGAGAUACUGCUGAGAGGUCACAAGAGUUUUGUUUUCUUGCAUCACGAGAGAACAUGUGUCAUGGAACAUGUUUUGUUUUCUUGCAUCACGAGAGAACAAGUUUUGUUUUGUUGCAUCACGAGUAUCUUGUAUCAUGGAAGUAUUUUGUUGCAUUGCAUCACGAGAACUUGUAAUUUUUUGCAUCAGAAACAUUAUAAAUUGUGUUUUCCAUAGUUGUAGUCAUUUGCCAAUAUCCAAUCUCUCCAUUCUUUCAAUCGCUAAACAAAACACACAGCCGUUUCUUUCAAGUUCUCAUCACACACACUCAUCACAAACAGCCGUUUCUUUCAAGUUCUCAACACACACACACGCAUCACUCUCUGUUGCCAUUUCUCGUUUUACAUUUCAUAUCCAUUCUCUAUAUACUUUCAAUUCUCAUCACAAACACAUUUAUAAAAAGCUAAAACAAAUUCUCAUGGCAUCUUCUUCUCAUCAAAAUUUCGAGGGGUCAAUGGAUGAAGCUUUCGAUCAAUAUUUUGAUCGAGCUUUCGAUCAAGCUUUCGAGAAUUUGUGCAAUAAUUUUGGUGAUCAAGAAGACGAAAGGAAGACAAGAAAAAAAAGAAUUUUUAUGGAAAGAAACCGUGAAGAAGACCAUCUCCGGUUAUGGAAUGAUUAUUUCAGUGACACUCCAACAUAUCCUGAAAAUUUAUUCAGACGACGAUUUUGAAUGAACAAGCCAUUGUUUAUGCGUAUUGUUGAUCGCCUCUCCAAUGAAGUUUCAUUAUUUCGUCAAAAGCAAGAUGUUACCGGAAGACUUGUUCUAUCUGCACUUCAAAAGUGUACAACAGCUAUUCGUGUGUUGGCAUAUGGUUCUGCGCUUGAUGCGGUCGACGAAUACCUCCGGCUCAGUGCAACCACUGCUCGGUUAUGUGUGGAAAACUUUGUAGAAGCAAUAAUAGAUUUGUUCGGCGAUGAGUACCUAAGGAGACCAACGCCGGAUGAUCUUCAACGUCUACUUCAUAUUGGAGAGCUUUGUGGAUUUCCCGGGAUGAUAGGAAGCAUCGAUUGUAUGCACUG
Molecule: long non-coding RNA, 1985 nt
Organism: Brassica napus (rape)
Lineage: Eukaryota; Viridiplantae; Streptophyta; Magnoliopsida; Brassicales; Brassicaceae
Exons: 3
Source: RefSeq, a predicted model, not a curated record